CCUACGGGGGGGCAGCAGUGGGGAAUAUUGGACAAUGGGGGCAACCCUGAUCCAGCCAUGCCGCGUGUGUGAAGAAGGCCCUCGGGUUGUAAAGCACUUUCAGUGAGGAAGAACGCCUGGUGGUUAAUACCCAUCAGGAAAGACAUCACUCACAGAAGAAGCACCGGCUAACUCCGUGCCAGCAGCCGCGGUAAUACGGAGGGUGCGAGCGUUAAUCGGAAUUACUGGGUGUAAAGCGCGCGUAGGUGGCUUGAUAAGCCGGUUGUGAAAGCCCCGGGCUCAACCUGGGAACGGCAUCCGGAACUGUCAAGCUAGAGUGCAGGAGAGGAAGGUAGAAUUCCCGGUGUAGCGGUGAAAUGCGUAGAGAUCGGGAGGAAUACCAGUGGCGAAGGCGGCCUUCUGGACUGACACUGACACUGAGGUGCGAAAGCGUGGGUAGCAAACAGGAUUAGAUACCCCUGUAGUC
RNAcentral lists this ribosomal RNA (466 nucleotides) under Vreelandella stevensii. RNAcentral's name for it is "partial 16S ribosomal RNA". It matches the Rfam family "Bacterial small subunit ribosomal RNA", at positions 338 to 795 of the family's 1533-position model. Lineage: Bacteria; Pseudomonadati; Pseudomonadota; Gammaproteobacteria; Oceanospirillales; Halomonadaceae. The record is from RNAcentral.